CAGUUUGAAUGUUUCGCCCACAUUUUAUACAGAUCAUUAACUAAAGAUGACACAAAAUGGAGGCAUUAGCAAAUAUAACAUGCUGCCCCUGAGGGUGAGUGAUUUUUGUAAAUACUUUACAAAACAGCUGUAGCCAAAUGAUUAUCUGCAUCAUCCAAAUGUAGAAAAUAAAUGUUUUAUCAGUUAACAUUUAAAUUAUUAGAUCUUUAAUUGAAUUGUUUGGAAGUUCAGCAUUUUUUUAAUGCAGACCUCAUGGUUAUGCAUGAAUAUUUUAUUGAGCUGAUGGAAUGAGACCUUGUUUUUAAAUGAUACCUGAGCAGAUCUGUAUUGAGACAGCAAAAUGUGAAUAACAAGCAACAUGCCGUUGCCUGAGGAAAACGCAGAUGAGCCUCCAUAUGCUCAGAAAGACGGUACAACUUCAUACAAGAACACACCGCUGAGCAAACUUCCCUCUAUUCUCACGUUUGGUUCUGAGCCCUUCAUUCAGCAAACACACUUCAAGAGGGGAACAGACUGCACUUUUGAUCUUCCUCACCACAAGAACAUUUAUUCGGUUUCAGAGAGUGCAAGUGGCUCAAAAUAUGCCAGAAGAGAUACAACACUAAGAGAUGCUUCAGCCCUCAUAUGUUGUGAUACAGCAGCCAAGCAUAAGUGUGAGCAAUGGAAGACCCCAGAGAGGGAUUUUACAGAGUAUUCCUCAUUAUCCACAAUUUCAAAGAAAGACAGCCCGCCGACCUGCUUUAAUUCUGCAGACAUUGCUUAUAAACCCCAAAAGGAAGCACUCGCUUUUCAAAGACAAGAUGAAAGGCUUUCAUCCUGUACCUUUCAUGAGCUUCUUGAGUCCUCGUGGAUGUCUGCAAACUUGCAUUGCUCGAUGCUACACUUCAACUCAACUGAACAAGCAGCCUCUUUUGUGGAACAUCAAACUCCCAACUUAUCUGUAUCCACCUCAGCGGUUUCCUCUCUCACAAUACCUGUCGUCACGGAAAGUGAAAGGCACAGUAGCUACAUUCCAAGAGAUAUCAAAAGACAACCAAGAAAUGAGCAGUUUCAGUGCUGUAAUACAAGAUUCAGCUCUAAUCAUGUCCCUAGAGUAUCUAUACAACCACCAAACAAAUCUGGACAAAAUGAAGAUUUUGUCAGAGACAGAAGACCUGAUGGAGACAAAUUGGCUUUUGAUGGCCCUACUGAGAUUAACCCUCAUAAAAGGCUUGAAAUGCAGGAGAAUUUGAGUCAAAUGCACCCACUGGUGAUUCAUAGAGAGGAUAUAAAGAACCAUACGCAAAACAUGCAAAGAGUUUAUCUUAAAGAAGCAUACAAAUGUCCUCCAGGACUGGCAGGAAGUAGGAAUGAACUAGUGUCUAUUGAUGGACAAUAUUUUAGAUCUCAUCAACACUCACCUUUUGCGAAGUGUAAAGCCGUGGCUGCAACAGAAGCUCGGAUUUCUGCUCAGCCUGAUGUGGCACCAGGGGCUUAUGAUGACUUUGAUGAAAAGAAAAUAGAAGAAAGGUGUGAAGACCUGUAUAGGUUCCAUCUGCGGUUGCGCUGUCUGAGAUUGUGGUCCAAAAGACUCAGGUUACUCUCUCAAGCCUGCUGUCAUGACAGAAGACGGGUUUUAAGCAAAGCUCUGUAUGUUCUGAGAUGGGCCGCAAAGAUGCAUUGUGCUCAAAAUGAUGCAGUGGAGAGGAGGAGAUGUAAUUUCCUGCUCUAUCAGAGUUUUUACCAGUGGAAGAAUCACUAUGAGAGCAGACACCUGGAUAACUCAUUACACAAUGAGCGCAACACAGAUGCUUUGAGAAAACGACUCAUUCAGCCCGGAAGAACUUUGGUUCUGAUGACCACAUGUUCCACCUGGAGGAACAUGCAUGAGCUCAGAACAGCUGUGAUUCAUUAUCAGUAAGAAUCAUCCUGUAAUCUGGGUCAGAUAUACAGUUACCUCACAAUGAAUAAGAGUCAAUAGGGAUGUCUGAGUCACUGUCUUGGACAGGAAUCAGGAUUUUCCUUUGCUAUUUAUCAUGAGUUUAACCUAAGUUUAACCUAACCUCUUUUAGAAACACCACUCUCCUUUUCUUAAGAACAUGUAAAUAUCUAGUUGUGUAUGUAAAUGUGUCUGUAUGUGCUUUAAACCUUGCAGUCUAUCUGUACUUUAUAAGCACUGGCUGCUGUGGAGGCAGGCGUGUUUAAAGCAAUUCUCUAGGAGACAACAGGAGUGGUGGUCAUGUUCGUGGUGGGGCAGACGACUCCAGAGCAAAGUCUGGACCCUGUGGAUAAUAACCUGGCAGAGAAAACAGCUAGCCACAGAUCAGUACAGCAUGCAUUUGUUAGCAUCAGCAUGGAUGAAAUGGAAAAUCAGUAACCGGUCAGAAGAAGCUGGAGAAGUUGAUACAGUCCACUCAGAUAAGCAGCCUAAAUCGUUUCUUCCAUCGUUGGCAGAAAAGAGCAGAAUCCUUUCAAAGAGAGAGAGAAAAACAGUUAGUUUUGAGCCGACGCGCCCUGCACUCCUGGCAUUGCUACGUUCAGAAGACAAAACUAACACGUUUGAGUACCAGAGUCCCAUGGGUGCUUUCCAGACAGAUGUUAGCAGUACACUUCAGGAAGUGGAGAAAUGUCACAGGAAGGAUGCAGGAAACAAGGAGAUGUCUGGAGAGAAUGCGCCCCCUGCAGGAUAAAGGUAGAAUGCAGACUACAUUUACAAUGUGGCGUCAAAGUGCGCGGGAAAGGAAAGAGUUAAGGAGAGUACGGGAGAAUUUACAAAGAGCUCAACUCUCAAGGUAAGUCAGCUUGUUCUCCUGGGCUUCAUUUGCAUUGUGGCUGUUACAUUUAAAUGAGAUGUUGAAAAUCUUGCACUUUAUACAAAUAAUAAAGUACAAACACUUUUUUGAAAUGUUGUCAAUUGUUCAUAAAAAUGUUAGUGAAAGAGUUUAUCUUUCACAAAAUGUUAUUCACCAACAUCAAGGGGUCAAACUAAAUAUGAGCUAUUUUGUUUUAUAUUUAUUUUAUAUGACCUUGUUUAUACUGUAUGACCUGCAGAAUGUAUAAGUCCUUGGCAGGCAGUCUAUGUCCCUGGACACUUGAAUCUGGGUGCAGAUAUCCUGUCGAAGUAGGACCUGAGGCCUAAGGGACUCUACUUGAAUGUGGUGGAGUUGAUUUUGCUGAGGAACGACAGAAUGGAAGUGAAGUUUUUUGUCUAAGCAGAGUCUAACCACUGUCCUCUCUGGUUUGCCCUCACACCUCCAGCUCCGUUAGGACUAGAUGCCAUGGUUCUGACAUGGCUAUGGCUGUGUCUGUAUGUAUUUUCCCCGAUAGCUCUGUUCCAACAAAGUAUGCCAAUGACAGAGUAUGCCUAGUACUCGUAGUUCCGUUUUGGCCAGCUCGAGUUUAGUUCCCGGACCUAGUGUUUCUCCUGGAAGGCUCUCCAUGGGAUAUUCCGACCAGGAGGGACUUUUUGUUUUCGGGGUCGAUCUUUCACCCCCGACCCGACAUUUGGAAACUGUGGGUUUGGCCCCUUAGUGAGAUCAGCUCCUAGAAUCUGGUCUCUCAGCCGAGGUUGUUGAGAGUUCCCUCCACAAGGAAAUUGUAUUAUCUUCAGUGGCAUCUUUUUGCAUUGUGGUGCGAUCAACGACACUUGGACCCAGUCCACUGCCUGCUUGGUUCAGUGCUAGAGUUCCUGCAGGAGCAUCUUUCAGCAGGGUUGGCCCUUGUUACACUUGCCACAUUCACGUUGAUGGAUAUUCCCCUGGUAUCUUGUUUCUUGUGCGGUGCCAGAUGGCUGAGGCCUAUCUGCAGACCGUGAGUUUCUUCAUGGGAGCUUGCUAUAGUCUUGGAUGGCUCAUCACACACACACGCACAUGCACACACACACACACACACACACACACACACACACACACACACACACACACACACACACGCGCGCACACACACACACACGCACACACACACACAAAAAAAACUUUACUUACCCUAAACUUUUGAACACUAGUGUAUUUAUAGGGUGUUGCUGUGUGGUUGCUAAACUGUUCAUUGAUGUUGUGGCACUGAUUCUCUGUGUGCUUAUGGUAGGUGUUUAUCGGUGUGGAGAACACUAGUCCAACGCAGUGCAUUGCUUCUGCAUUACUGUUAUCACAGAAAGGCUCUGACACUCAAGACAUGCUUACAGCAAUGGAGCAGAUCUCUACAGCUACACUGUCUGCAGAAGGAUUUCCUCAUCCACCAGUUUCAUACAAGACAGAAAAACACAGGCUGUACGAUGGAAGUGUUCAAAUGGAAAACACGCAUUUCAGCUCAAGAACUAUCAGCAACGCUACUGCUUCACAACACUCUUCAUAAGUGGACAGAGAUAUUAGUGAAACAACAGUUGGCACAAUCCCACAGAUCAGUUCAAGAUAGAGCUGUUCAGCGGGCUUUUCUUCUGGAGUGGUACAGACACACUCAGGCUGUUUUCUCUGAUGGAGUUCUGCUCUUCACAGCCAGACUGGCUCAUCUUUAUCCAUCCUCCUCUUCCUCAUCCUGCUCUGAUCCUCUUAUGUCCACUGCUGUACCUCAGGUUUCUCUGGUAGAAUGUGAAAACUGCACAGCAGAAGAUGAUAGUUUGGAGCGAAGUGUGUUGACACACAGAGAGCAACACUGCCCUCUACUUGCCACAGAAUCACAGCACAGCCACAUGUCAUGGACUGUGUCAGAGGAACACAGAUCUCUGCUGUCAGUUAUCAGUACAAUUUCUGAGGAACAUAAAGACCCAGGAGAUGAGAGAAUGGUUUAUAGUUGUUUCUGGGGCUCCUAUGAUCAUUGCAGACUUCGCAGAUCAAAGGUUGUGCUACUAAGAGCCCUCGGCAGGAUGAUGCAUCCUGAUUUGAGUCUGGCUUUUUCCCAGUGGAGGGGUCUAGUGCACACUAACAGAGAUAUGAGGCUACAGGCGGAUCUCUGUAGAAAAAGCAGGAGACGUAAAGAACUGACUGUGGUUUUCAGGGUGUGGAGAGCUCAUACUCAAAUGCACUGCAGGGCUGUCCAGCACUGGGAGAGGAGGGUGCUCAUUCAUUCUGUCGUUCAGUGGAAACUAAUGGUUUGGCAGAGAUGCAGGAAGCAUAUGUUGGAACAGCAUGUGGCACUUACCCAUGACACCAGUCUACUCAGACACUGCUUCUGUACAUGGACCAGACUGGCCGUGGUGCCAUACUGUGAGCAGCAGAAUUGUGCUGUUGAAUGGAUGAAGAGCAAAGCAGAGAGACACAGACUGAACUUGAGCUUCUCCACGUGGGUAACAUGUGUAAGCCAGCAGCAGACUGCCAGAGCCGUUUAUAUUCGCACGCUACAGAACAGAGUGUUUUUGGCAUGGCUGAGUUGUGUGCAGGUCUGUAAGCAGAGGCAGGCAUCAGCUCUGUCCUUUUCACACUACAGACUCUUGCGAGUCUGUUUCUGUCAGUGGAGAUUCAUCUGUGCUCAGCAGCAGCUUGCCAACAGCAAAGAACAACACAGAUUCCACCUGAGAGUCAAAGCCAUCUUACAGCAGUGGAGAAAACAUGCACAAUAUAGGGCUCAUCGACAGGCUCUUCUAUGUGAAUAUGAUGAGAGGAGGAAGAUUUUCAUGAAGAGAAGAACAUAUCGAAUGUGGAGCCAAGCAGUGGAAUAUUUCAGAAGAUCUCAGCAUUAUCACCAAAGAGCCUUAAAAUACAGAUAUUUCUUUCAGUGGCUUCAUGAGUUCAGGCAUCAGUCAGAGCUGCUGUGUAUAAGCAGAGAGCUGGAGGAGGUCCUGACGCAGAGACUACAGCGUAGAGCUUUCUGUCACUGGCAGUUCAAACUCAGCCAUGUACAUUCUCACAUACUUCACAUCACGAGUCUCAUCCACCGCUGGGAAGACACUCGGCAUCUCCGUCUUUAUCUGUGUGUGUGGAGGGAGAGACUUGUUGAGAGGAAGAGGGCCCGACUGACGAUGCAUCAGUGGAGACAGCACAUCUCACGGGCCAGAAAGCAGAGAAACAUCGUGUGGAGGAUGAAAAACAUGUUCCUGUGCUGGAAAGCAGCUUUUACACAGAGGGUCAGGAGCAGAGAUCACUGUACACAGAGACAGCAGAGGAGGGUUCUGCUGGCAUGGCACAAACAAACAGUAUCAGCCCAGAGACUGAGGUACAGAGAGGCCUGGUUCCAGUACAGCAGUGAGAUGAGACUGCUGGCUGCUGUACUCAUACAGUGGAGAAGAGCUCUCAUCCAGGGUCAACAGAGGAAGUGUGCAAUGGAGAGCCAGCUCAUCGUCUAUCAGAGCAGGGUUAGAGGUCGAGCUUUUCAUCGCUGGAGAACUGCUGCCAUGGAAUGUAGAGCGAUUAAAACAUUUAACAACAGAUUACUUCACAAGAUGUUCAAGCGUUGGACACAUAGCAGGGAUUUGUUGAAAGUAGCAGACAUGUUUUGUGUUAAGAAGGAAAGAAGUGAAGCCCGGUUAGCUCUAACGACGUGGUCACUGUGGGCCAAAGAACAUAAAGCCCAGAGGCAGAUGGGGGAGGCUGUGAGUCUCUGGCUAGAGGGCAGAGGAGUAUCUAGAACUUUCCAUCAUUGGGUCAGAGUGUACCAACAAUACCAGAAAGCUUCCCAACACAGAAAGACACAGUUUUCACACAGAGCUGUGAAGGGAAGAGUGCAUGGACUGACCCAUCUGUACUGGACCUGUUGGAAAAACCAAACUGAAGCAUCAUUGCUGUACACACAACAAUAUGAGCGCUCUGUGCUGCAAAGAGCCUGGCUUAUCUGGAGAAAGAGACAUAUCAGGAACAGAGUGUCUGCUGAUUACUCAUCCAACUUUAACAACAUGCUAUUGGCACAGGUGUUGCAAGUGUGGUGGCAGCGAGCCCACGGAUCGGACUUUGAGCCCUAACAAGUUCUGUUUACAAGCAGAAGGUUAACAGAUGGAAACCAGCCAGGGCAGAUCAUACCAGACUGCAGUAACUUCAGACAUCACCAUGACAUCUCCAAAAUAAUGACAGUUCACCUGGAGUAUUCAGUAACAGUUUAACGAUACAUCUACACAUUUCUACAUUUCAUUAUGUGAUGUAAAAUUCUCAUAAAUAUUUAUUACCACCCCCAUCCACAUUUGAAUCAAAAAAGAUUUUAUUGUAUUGGUCAAAUGUUUCAGGUUAAAGAGCAGGGCCUAAAACAAACUUUUUGCCACACCUGCCAAUGGUCGGUGACUUAAUAAAAUAUACCGGCCAUAAAUAUUUUUUACCAGCCAUUAAAAAAAUUACAAUUCUCUAUUCCAAUUUCGAUACUAGGAUACUUGCUGAGACUGGCAUUUUUGACAUCAUUUUGUGUGAAUUUGUCCGUUCAAGCACGAGAUGUGAAAAAGAGCUCAGUUCAGUAUCCGCACGCUGUCUGAGACGCAGCUCUCUGAGUUCCCUUUCACGUUUUCUUGCACUUGAAUAUUUAAAUUGACAAGGCUUAAACUUUCGUGACGAUGCAGCACUGGCCCAUCAGCUGUCCCGAGCGUUAUUCAUGUUUGUUCAUGUUCAUGUUCUCACAACAUGGCAUUGUUAGAAUUCAGAAAACUGUUACCGGCCAACUGGCGAUUGACAACAUUUCAUAUAUUCGCCAACACCAAUUUUUACUUGCAUUUGGCGCUUGGCGAGUGUUAAUUUUAGGCCCUGUUAAAGAGUUUACCAAGAGUAAGCCAAACAACAGGUGUUCUUUUUUUUUCAACCUAUUGCAUUAUCCACCAAACCCACAGUCAAAGCCACUGGAAGGCAAGCCUGCAACCUUUAGCCAAAAAAGCGUAACGGCUAAUGCUAACCCCUGGCGGUACGCAGGGAAGGAGACCAGAGGCUGUUUUUUGAAUGGAUGUCAAUGGAUGAGAGGCUUCACUAUGGUGAUUAAACAGCUUUUGUGGGGAAAUAGCUAAUCAUUUAAUUAAUUGACAGCCUGUUUGCUAAUCUUCAGCAUGUUUUACACUAAACUAUACUUUCGUUGGGAACUAUAUGUAGAUUUUAGCUUGAUUAAAAAUGUAUUUUUUUAAGAGAAGGCAGACUAGGGGAUGUUGCGUCUGAUGUCACUGCCAUUACACGAUAGGCUGAGAGGUGCCACACGUGAUUAAGUUAGCCGUUACGGUUUCUCCAAUGGUAAGAGAUACAGGCCCUCUUAUCUCCCCACUAUAUACAAUCUCUGCCACAGCAUGUAAAAGUAACAUGACACCUCUCCUUAAAAAGCUGCAUGAUUUGGGAUAUCAUUCAUCUCUGUAGCUGUAGCACAAACCAAAAAUAUUCAAACCGGUUUGUUAGUGACUGCAAGAACCCUUAUAGCAUAUAAGUUUCACUAAAACAUUCUAAAUAAAUUCUAAUUGUCUGUCUUAACUUUCUAACUCGUUCAGUGCUGUAAAUGAUAUUCGUGCAUAGGUGUAGAUUGAUAGUUCCAGAAGAAAAAGAAUUCCCAGAACUUCCACGAGAAAUGCCAGCGGUUCAGAGGGUUCACUUAUGUAACAACCCUAUAGUGAGUAUAGAAUGAGUGUGUCAGGUUACUGACUCCUCCUCCUUUCCUCAUGCAGAAAGAGCACUCAGUGGAAGAACCAAGACUGUUUCAAUUUCUCAGUGGUUUUUGGAAAAUGGCACUUAGGUUGCCAUGGUACUAAACCACUUUUAUAUACUCUAUGUAUUUAAAUCAAGUAUUGGUGUAGAACAUUUUCAUGCCGCCUUUGUCCAAUAAAACAUAAUAGGAGUG
RNA transcript from Ctenopharyngodon idella (grass carp), 8694 nucleotides. RefSeq lists it as uncharacterized. NCBI's taxonomy places the organism in Eukaryota, Metazoa, Chordata, Actinopteri, Cypriniformes, Xenocyprididae. The transcript has 23 exons. The record is from RefSeq and is a predicted model, not a curated record.